UGUUAUAUGAUGAAAACUUUUCUCAGCUCACUCAGAGUUUCAAACAGUGAUUGAAAACAUUUUCCUAUCCAACAUUCAUCAAAUUAUCUGACAUAGAA
This 98-nucleotide small nucleolar RNA is filed under the name Huiozyma naganishii CBS 8797. The record is from RNAcentral. Lineage: Eukaryota; Fungi; Ascomycota; Saccharomycetes; Saccharomycetales; Saccharomycetaceae.